GGAGGAUCCAAGCGUUAUCCGGAUUUAUUGGGUUUAAAGGGUGCGUAGGCGGCCUGUUAAGUCAGGGGUGAAAGACGGUGGCUCAACCAUCGCAGUGCCCUUGAUACUGACGGGCUUGAAUGGACUAGAGGUAGGCGGAAUGAGACAAGUAGCGGUGAAAUGCAUAGAUAUGUCUCAGAACACCGAUUGCGAAGGCAGCUUACUAUGGUCUUAUUGACGCUGAGGCACGAAAGCGUGGGGAUCAAACAGGAUUAGAUACCCUGGUAGUCCACGCCCUAAACGAUGAACACUCGCUGUUGGCGAUACACAGUCAGCGGCUAAGCGAAAGCGUUAAGUGUUCCACCUGGGGAGUACGCCCGCAAGGGUG
Molecule: ribosomal RNA, 367 nt
Filed under: uncultured bacterium
Lineage: Bacteria
Description: bacterial SSU rRNA
Rfam family: Bacterial small subunit ribosomal RNA
Source: RNAcentral